GCAGAGAUGGCUGAGCUGGUCUAAGGCGCACGACUGGAAAUCGUGUAAGUGCUAAUACCACUUCGGGGGUUCGAAUCCCCAUCUCUGCGCCA
This 92-nucleotide transfer RNA is filed under the name Clostridia bacterium. RNAcentral describes it as "tRNA-Ser". It matches the Rfam family "tRNA". Rfam says of the family: Transfer RNA (tRNA) molecules are approximately 80 nucleotides in length. Their secondary structure includes four short double-helical elements and three loops (D, anti-codon, and T loops). Lineage: Bacteria; Bacillati; Bacillota; Clostridia. The record is from RNAcentral.